CGGGCCAAGUCCCCUGGAACGGGGCGCCGUGGAGGGUGAGAGCCCCGUACGCCCGGGCCGCCGUCGCCGCCAGAAGCUCCUUCGGCGAGUCGAGUUGUUUGGGAAUGCAGCUCCAAGCGGGAGGUAAAUUUCUUCUAAGGCUAAAUAUCGGCCGGAGACCGAUAGCGCACAAGUAGAGUGAUCGAAAGAUGAAAAGCACUUUGGAAAGAGAGUCAAACAGCACGUGAAAUUGUUGAAAGGGAAGCUCUUGCCGCCAGACUUGCCGCGGUCGUUCAGCCGCCCCCCGGGGCGGUGCACUCGUCCGCCGGCGGGCCAGCGCGGGCUCGGGCGGCCGGAUAAAGGCCCUGGGAAUGUGCCCCCCCGCGGGGGGUGUUAUAGCCCUGGGCGCAAUGCGGCCAGCCCGGGCCGAGGCACGCGAUCGCUAGGGCGCUGGCGUAAUGGCUGCAAGCGACCCGUCUUGAAACACGGACCAAGGAGUCUAACGUCCCCGCGAGUGUUUGGGCGUCAAACCCAUGCGCGAAAUGAAAGUGAACGGAGGUGGGAACCCCCAGAGGGCGCACCAUCGACCGAUCCUGAUGUCCUCGGAUGGAUUUGAGUAAGAGCGUGGCCGUGGGGACCCGAAAGACGGUGAACUAUGCGUGUAUAGGGUGAAGCCAGAGGAAACUCUGGUGGAGGCUCGCAGCGGUUCUGACGUGCAAAUCGAUCGUCAAAUAUGCGUAUAGGGGCGAAAGACUAAUCGAACCGUCCAAACUGCUAGGCGGUUUAGAGAUGCCCCNNNGGGGCUUCUAUCCCCGCGGUCUGAUUGCUAGUAGCUGGUUCCCGCCGAAGUUUCCCUCAGGAUAGCAGUGACGUAUUCAGUUUUAUGAGGUAAAGCGAAUGAUUAGAGGCCUUGGGGUUGAAACAACCUUGUGAGUACCAGAGAGCCCCCCCGCCUGAGGCUUCGUUGCCCCUGCUGACCCCGUACCCAGAACCUAUUCUCAAACUUUGAAUAUGUAAGAAGCCCUUGUUGCUUUAAUGAACGUGGGCGCUCGAAUGCACCGUCACUAGUGGGCCAUUUUUGGUAAGCAGAACUGGCGAUGCGGGAUGAACCGAAAGCGGGGUUAAGGUGCCGGAGUGGACGCUCAUCAGACACCACAAAAGGUGUUAGUUCAUCCAGACAGCCGGUAAGCAAGCCCCCAUUCUCCGGGGGCUAUACGCCAGCUAACGCACCCCCCAGGACGGUGGCCAUGGAAGUCGGAACCCGCUAAGGAGUGGUGAGUGUUAUCCCCCAUGCCCCCUCUAUCAGCUCUAGAUAGGCGCUAACGUGGCUGUUUCUAGUGUAACAACUCGUGAGUCAACGCCCCCCGCCGGCGCCCUCGCCGUGAACAAGCUGACAUUGAAUCAGACCGGCCGAAUGAACUAGCCCUGAAAAUGGAUGGCGCUCAAGCGUCCCACCCACACCCCGCCGCCGGGGCAGGAACGAAGCCCCGGCGAGUAGGCGGGCGCGGGGGU
RNAcentral lists this ribosomal RNA (1491 nucleotides) under Zwackhia sorediifera. Its description in RNAcentral is "LSU rRNA". It matches the Rfam family "Eukaryotic large subunit ribosomal RNA", at positions 177 to 1398 of the family's 3401-position model. The record is from RNAcentral. Lineage: Eukaryota; Fungi; Ascomycota; Arthoniomycetes; Arthoniales; Lecanographaceae.